GAUGAACGCUGGCGGCGUGCCUAAUACAUGCAAGUCGAGCGAACAGAUGAGGAGCUUGCUCCUCUGACGUUAGCGGCGGACGGGUGAGUAACACGUGGAUAACCUACCUAUAAGACUGGGAUAACUUCGGGAAACCGGAGCUAAUACCGGAUAAUAUAUUGAACCGCAUGGUUCAAUAGUGAAAGACGGUUUUGCUGUCACUUGUAGAUGGAUCCGCGCCGCAUUAGCUAGUUGGUAAGGUAACGGCUUACCAAGGCAACGAUGCGUAGCCGACCUGAGAGGGUGAUCGGCCACACUGGAACUGAGACACGGUCCAGACUCCUACGGGAGGCAGCAGUAGGGAAUCUUCCGCAAUGGGCGAAAGCUUGACGGAGCAACGCCGCGUGAGUGAUGAAGGUCUUCGGAUCGUAAAACUCUGUUAUUAGGGAAGAACAAAUGUGUAAGUAACUAUGCACGUCUUGACGGUACCUAAUCAGAAAGCCACGGCUAACUACGUG
RNAcentral lists this ribosomal RNA (497 nucleotides) under uncultured bacterium. Its description in RNAcentral is "partial 16S ribosomal RNA". It matches the Rfam family "Bacterial small subunit ribosomal RNA", at positions 28 to 507 of the family's 1533-position model. The record is from RNAcentral.